This is a non-coding RNA of Equus quagga, 501 nucleotides long. The record is from the annotation of a RefSeq genome assembly. NCBI's taxonomy places the organism in Eukaryota, Metazoa, Chordata, Mammalia, Perissodactyla, Equidae.
AGGACUGAACACAGACGACUCAGCAUGGAGUUUGGGCUGACGUGGAUUCUUCUUCUUGCUGUUUUAAGAGGUGUCCAGUGUGAGGUGCAGCUGGUGGAGUCUGGGGGAGGCCUGGUGAAGCCUGGGGGGUCUCUGAGACUCUCCUGUGCAGCCUCUGGAUUCACCUUCAGCAGCUAUGCUAUGAGCUGGGUCCGCCGGGCUCCAGGGAAGGGCCUGCAGUGGGUCUCAAGUAUUAACAGUGAUGGUGGUAGCACACACUACGCUGACUCCGUGAAGGGCCGAUUCACCAUCUCCAGAGACAACACCAAGAACACGCUGUGUCUGCAAAUGAACAGCCUGAGAGACGAGAACACGGCCAUUUAUUACUGUACUAAGGGCACAGCGAGGAGAAGUCGGCGUGAGCCCAGACACAAACCUGCCUGCAGGAGGGGCUCAGGACCACCAGGGGGCGCGCAGGGCCCAUGCUCUCAAGGACCAUCACAGAGGCAGGUGCAGAUGGAG